GCUUGUCUCAAAGAUUAAGCCAUGCAUGUCUGAGUAUAAAUGCGUUUAUAGUGAAACUGCAAGGGCUCAUUAAAUCAGCUAUUGUUUCUUUGAUGGGUGUGACCAAGGAUACCUCUGGUAAUUCUAGAGCUAAUACUUGCGCAAGGCGGCGUAGCUGCGUAUUUAUUAGAUACGACCAGGUACUGGUGAGUCAUGAUAACUGCUCGAAUCGCAUGGUCUUGCACCGGCGAUGCAUCAUUCAAAUAUCUGCCCUAUCAACUUUCGAUGGGAGGGUAGUGGCCUCCCAUGGUGACAACGGGUACGGGCGAUUAGGGUCGAAUUGCCGGAGAGGGAGCCUGAGAAACGGCUACCACAUCCAAGGAAGGCAGCAGG
This 372-nucleotide ribosomal RNA is filed under the name uncultured fungus. RNAcentral's name for it is "partial small subunit ribosomal RNA". It matches the Rfam family "Eukaryotic small subunit ribosomal RNA", at positions 30 to 432 of the family's 1831-position model. The record is from RNAcentral. Lineage: Eukaryota; Fungi.